UACGUAGGGUGCAAGCGUUAAUCGGAAUUACUGGGCGUAAAGCGUGCGCAGGCGGUUGUGCAAGACAGAUGUGAAAUCCCCGGGCUUAACCUGGGAAUUGCAUUUGUGACUGCACGGCUAGAGUGUGUCAGAGGGGGGUAGAAUUCCACGUGUAGCAGUGGAAUGCGUAGAUAUGUGGAGGAAUACCGAUGGCGAAGGCAGCCCCCUGGGAUAACACUGACGCUCAUGCACGAAAGCGUGGGGAGCAAACAGG
This 253-nucleotide ribosomal RNA is filed under the name uncultured bacterium. Its description in RNAcentral is "partial 16S ribosomal RNA". It matches the Rfam family "Bacterial small subunit ribosomal RNA", at positions 524 to 776 of the family's 1533-position model. The record is from RNAcentral.